Molecule: small nuclear RNA, 288 nt
Filed under: Echinococcus granulosus
Lineage: Eukaryota; Metazoa; Platyhelminthes; Cestoda; Cyclophyllidea; Taeniidae
Description: partial U1 snRNA
Source: RNAcentral
AUUGUCGUUGCCAUCUCUCCAUCUCUCACCCUCGGCUGUGGCGGUGGUGACGAGACGAGACGAGACGAGGCAGGCAGGGCAGGGCGAGGCGAGGCGAGACGAGGCGAGGCGAGUUAGGGGAGGUACUACUGAAGUGGAGAAGUAGGUGGGAGUAGAGUGCAGGUGGGGUAGUGAGAUGGUGGAGAGGAGAGGGAGGUGGUGAUGAGUGGCGUGUGAGGAGUAGGGUGCGUGGGCGUAGGAAAGCAGAAGAGACGUGGUGGUGUGAGGCGAUGUGUGGUGAUGGAGACG